RNAcentral lists this ribosomal RNA (487 nucleotides) under uncultured bacterium. RNAcentral's name for it is "bacterial SSU rRNA". It matches the Rfam family "Bacterial small subunit ribosomal RNA", at positions 30 to 508 of the family's 1533-position model. The record is from RNAcentral.
AUUGAACGCUGGCGGAAUGCUUUACACAUGCAAGUCGAACGGCAGCAUAGGUGCUUGCACCUGAUGGCGAGUGGCGAACGGGUGAGUAAUACAUCGGAACGUGCCCAGUCGUGGGGGAUAACGUAGCGAAAGUUACGCUAAUACCGCAUACGAUCUACGGAUGAAAGCGGGGGACCGUAAGGCCUCGCGCGAUUGGAGCGGCCGAUGUUAGAUUAGGUAGUUGGUGGGGUAAAGGCUCACCAAGCCGACGAUCUAUAGCUGGUCUGAGAGGAUGAUCAGCCACACUGGGACUGAGACACGGCCCAGACUCCUACGGGAGGCAGCAGUGGGGAAUUUUGGACAAUGGGCGCAAGCCUGAUCCAGCCAUUCCGCGUGCAGGACGAAGGCCUUCGGGUUGUAAACUGCUUUUGUACAGAACGAAAAGCUUUGGGUUAAUACCCUGGGGUCAUGACGGUACUGUAAGAAUAAGCACCGGCUAACUACGUGA